AAGUCCGCAACGAGCGCAACCCCACGUUAGUUGCUAACGCGUGAAGGCGAGCACUCUAGACGAACUGCCGUUGCAAAACGGAGGAAGGUGGGGAUGACGUCAAAUCAUCAUGCCCCUUAUGUUCUGGGCUACACACGUGCUACAAUGGCCGGUACAGACGGACGCAAAGCCGCGAGGUGGAGCAAAUCCUAAAAAGCCGGUCUCAGUUCGGAUUGCAGGCUGCAAUUCGCCUGCAUGAAGUCGGAAUCGCUAGUAAUCGCAGGUCAGCAUACUGCGGUGAAUCCGUUCCCGGGCCUU
RNAcentral lists this ribosomal RNA (297 nucleotides) under uncultured Bacillus sp. RNAcentral's name for it is "partial 16S ribosomal RNA". It matches the Rfam family "Bacterial small subunit ribosomal RNA", at positions 1082 to 1382 of the family's 1533-position model. The record is from RNAcentral. Lineage: Bacteria; Bacillati; Bacillota; Bacilli; Caryophanales; Bacillaceae.